Molecule: long non-coding RNA, 2328 nt
Filed under: Neodiprion lecontei (redheaded pine sawfly)
Lineage: Eukaryota; Metazoa; Arthropoda; Insecta; Hymenoptera; Diprionidae
Description: uncharacterized LOC124292921, transcript variant X1
Source: RNAcentral
AUGGUGAUUAGUAUAAUUAUAUAGUAUAGUGAUUAGUGUAGUCGUAUGAACGUUCUAGUCGGAUGUUACAUAGGCGCGACGGCGCGGAGCGCGGUUGAGUGAUAACCAAUUAAAAUGCCUGGAAUAUAGUGUUUACUAGAUUUAAUGUAUUUUGAUCAGUUUCCGCGUAACCGCGCCUAUGUAAACCCGCCGAACUGAAAUAUAAAAAACCAGGUCUGAAAAACCCACCGUUAGAUGUCAUUCCAUGGUAGCGUUCCGAAAUUAGCUCGCAGUGAUAUAAACUCCCUAGAACAGAGGCAGAGCACUCACGAACUCGGCAACGCAAUGGGUACUUCUAUUUACAUGACUUUUGUGUCGACUUGUGUCAACUCGUGUCGACUCUCGAAAACGAAUAAAUGGAACAUCACACAUUUGCGCGAGAGUUGAUGCGCACGACACAGCAAGGUAAAAAUGUGAAAAGAAUGGUAUCAACAAAUUUAAGCUUUGCGAUGAGUAAAUAAAAAUAUGGCAGAGUCUUUAUUAGCUAUCCUGAUGAAUGAAUCCAGUAGUAGUAGCAGCAGCAGCAGUUCAGAUUCUUCAAGCGAUGAUGGUUUCAACCCGCUGUUAGAAGAUGACUACGAAAAUGAUCUUUUAUUCCCCUUCUCCACUUUCUAAUGGAGGGACGUGAACGACAGCGUGUGCGAAAUUUUCUCAAUACAGUUCAAGCUAAAAGCAAUGAGGAGUUUAAGGAAGAUUUCAGAUUGGAGCGGCCAAUUGUUAACAUAUUAUUGGAAAGUUUGGAAAAUAGUGGAUUCAUUCCAAUCCAUACCUUUGGAAAGGAAAAGAAACCUGCUGAAUUGUGUUUAUUAAUGACACUUUGGUUUCUCGGGAACAAGGAGUCACAUAGGUUACUGUCAAAUUUCUUUGAUAUUUCAUUUUCACCUGUAUUUCGCAUAGUGCGAAGAGUCAUUGAUUGGCUCAUUACACUUGUUCCUCAGUUCAUUAAAUGGCCAGAAGGAAAUAACGUUGUGGGAAUAUCUGAGAGAUUUGAAAAUGUAACAGGUAUUUGUGGUUGCAUUGGUGCAAUAAAUGGUUCUGAUAUUCACAUUAAUAAGCCAGAAGGAAAUGGUAGGGUAUAUUUCAACAGGAAAUAACAUUAUUCUAUUCUACUGCAAGCUGUGGUUGACUGCGACCUAAAAUUUACGAAUGUAUAUUGCGGAUUUUCACGAUGCCAGAAUGUUAAGAAGAUCCGAUCUAUUUGUAGUAGCCGAACAGAAUCACGAAAGAAUUUUUCCUAACAAUAGCUUUUUAUUAGGCGAUAAAGGAUAUAAUGGUGUAGCACAAACGUGGCUGGCUUGUCUUUUUCGGGACAACGGAAAUUUAACAGUUCAAGAAGAUGAGUUCAACACGAAAAUUUAUCAAACACGUGUAGUAGUCGAACGAGCCUUCGGCAUUCUUAAGGGUCGUUUUCGUUUAUUGCAAAUGAUGCCACUUUGAGAUAUUCAAUUCAUGAUACGUUUUUUUGUCGCAUGUUGCAUAUUGCACAAUAUUUGUUUUAUUAAUGGAGAUAAUGGGGAAGGUUUCUUCAAUGACGAACUUGAUCAACAAUGGAAUGACAUAUCAGAUAAUGAAGAUGUAAAUGAGGACAGGGAUGUUCCACAAAGAGACCCAAGAAAUCUUCGGGGAUACUUGUUCAACAAUAUGUUUCCAGAAAAUCUGUAAUUAGAAAUUGAGAGUUCGAAUCCAAUGAUAUUCCGAUGACUUGAUUUACUAAUAUAUAAAUGUAAGCAAUAGAAGUAUAAUUCAAAAUUUAUUUGCUACAUAUUUGACGGAACUUAUUUUUCCAAAAUUGUAUCAUAUGAACUCCAUUUCAUCUUCAUGAAAUUGUAUAUUAUAUAAAUGUAAGCAGUAGAUGUAUAAUUUAAAAUGUAUAUGCUAAAGAUAUGAUGCUGCAUAACUGUAAGUUAUAAUAGGGGUAUAAAUUGAGUAGAUUUUGUAUAAAAAGGUUUUUUUCUUUUGUCUUUGGGCAGAAACAAUGAUAUCAUCUUAGGGUUUAAGUACAUAAAAACUGGUUUGAUAAAACUAUAAGUAUUAAGUACAAGCAUGAAACUAUAGAUAUUAAAAUACUAUAAGUCGAUAACAAAACUAUAAAAUACAUUUAAAGUCUUGAAGGAGUUGACCGUUUUAAUCAAUAAAGCACUCUAACUUGUAACAGUCUUGUUUUGAUCAAGAAUACAAUAACAGUACACGUACAUAACUAUGAGUAUUAACUACAAGCACGAAACUAUUGGUAUUAAAAUACUAUACACUCUGUGACAAAACUAUGAAAUACAUUCAGUCUUGAAAGAG